GAUGAACGCUGGCGGCGUGCCUAAUACAUGCAAGUCGAACGAACGGACGAGAAGCUUGCUUCUCUGAUGUUAGCGGCGGACGUGUGAGUAACGCGUGUAUAACCUACCUAUCAGACUGAUAUAACUUCGGGACACCGGAUCUAAUACGGUAUAAGAUUUUGAACCGCGGUGGUCAAAGGUGAAAUACGGUGGUUCGGUCACGUAUAGAUGGUUCCGCGCUGCAUGAGCUAGUUGGGAAGUUAACGGCCUACCAAGGCAACGAGGCAUAGCCGACCGCACAGGGUGAUCGGCGACACGGGAACUGGGACACGCUCCAGAGUCCUGAGGGAGGCAGCAGUCGCCAACCUUCCGCAGUGGGCGAAAGCAUGGCGGAGCAACGGCGCGUGAGUGACGACAGCCUUCGGAGCGGAAAACUCGGUUACUAGUUAAGAACCUAUGUGGACGUAAACGAGCCCUUCGUGACGGUAACUAAUAAGAAAGCCACGGCUAACUACGUG
Molecule: ribosomal RNA, 497 nt
Filed under: uncultured bacterium
Lineage: Bacteria
Description: partial 16S ribosomal RNA
Rfam family: Bacterial small subunit ribosomal RNA
Source: RNAcentral